CAGAUUUAAAAUCAAACCAUUUUUUCAUGUAGGCUGUGUGAGUCAUAGCCGGGGGAGGUGUAGCUACAUAAACAGGUGUGGCUCAAAAGUGUGGAGCCCCUCAAAAGUGAUUUAACUGGAAGGAUGAGCCCCUCACUUAGGGACUGAAAAAAUAGCAGAAUCCCUUAACUUUAGGGUAAUGCCGCUUAAACACUUCCAAUGCUAUAAGUAUUGGGAAAGUGGCAUGUAUACUAAAUGUCUACCUUAACAUUAGGAGUCUCAACAUUAGUA
Pelobates cultripes (western spadefoot toad) is the source of this 270-nucleotide non-coding RNA. The record is from the annotation of a GenBank genome assembly. Lineage: Eukaryota; Metazoa; Chordata; Amphibia; Anura; Pelobatidae.